AGAAUCAACGCUGGCGGCGUGCCUAACACAUGCAAGUCGCACGAGAAAGGGUAGCAAUACCUGAGUAAAGUGGCGCACGGGUGAGUAACACGUGAAUUAUCUACCUCCGAGUGGGGAAUAACUGAGAGAAAUCUUAGCUAAUACCGCAUAACACUUACGAGUCAAAGCAGCAAUGCGCUUGGAGAGGAGUUCGCGGCCGAUUAGUUAGUUGGCGGGGUAAUGGCCCACCAAGACGAUGAUCGGUAUCCGGCCUGAGAGGGCGCACGGACACACUGGAACUGAAACACGGUCCAGACUCCUACGGGAGGCAGCAGUGGGGAAUUUUGCGCAAUGGGGGAAACCCUGACGCAGCAACGCCGCGUGGAGGAUGAAAUAUCUUGGUAUGUAAACUCCUUUCGAUGGGGAAGAUUAUGACGGUACCAUAGAAGAAGCCCGGCUAACUUCGCGCCAGCAGCCGC
RNAcentral lists this ribosomal RNA (458 nucleotides) under uncultured bacterium. Its description in RNAcentral is "SSU rRNA". It matches the Rfam family "Bacterial small subunit ribosomal RNA", at positions 26 to 518 of the family's 1533-position model. The record is from RNAcentral.